This 254-nucleotide ribosomal RNA is filed under the name uncultured bacterium. RNAcentral's name for it is "partial 16S ribosomal RNA". It matches the Rfam family "Bacterial small subunit ribosomal RNA", at positions 524 to 776 of the family's 1533-position model. The record is from RNAcentral.
UACGUAGGGCGCAAGCGUUAUCCGGAAUUAUUGGGCGUAAAGAGCUCGUAGGCGGUUUGUCGCGUCUGCCGUGAAAGUCCGGGGCUCAACUCCGGAUCUGCGGUGGGUACGGGCAGACUAGAGUGAUGUAGGGGAGACUGGAAUUCCUGGUGUAGCGGUGAAAUGCGCAGAUAUCAGGAGGAACACCGGUGGCGAAGGCGGGUCUCGUGGGCCGUAACUGACGCUGAGGAGCGAAAGCGUGGGGAGCGAACAGG